RNAcentral lists this long non-coding RNA (744 nucleotides) under Olea europaea (common olive). Its description in RNAcentral is "long non-coding RNA (OEUR_LNC011878)". The record is from RNAcentral. Lineage: Eukaryota; Viridiplantae; Streptophyta; Magnoliopsida; Lamiales; Oleaceae.
AAAUCGACUUGGCUAUGGAAUUGUUACGAGAUCGGGCUCGGAGAUACUCGAGAUCUUAUGACAGUCCUAGUCGAGUUAUCCUGAGCUAUGAGUUUGUUCGUGUCGUAGAUAUUGAGCAUUACGAGCUCAUAAGCAAGGGGAAUAAAUAUGUUCUGUCUGAGCACAUGCUAGAUUGGGUGAUUGGGCUACAGCUAAGGUGCAGAAAGCCGUGGACGGAUUGUACACAUAUGUAUAUUCCAGUGAUCGCGAACUCACUGUUUUUCAGUGGAAAUCGUAUUUGCUGAUUCCACUAUGUAUGUGUACUACUCUGAUCAUAGCUGUCUGAUACAAAGUCAACUGGAGCAAAUACUGGAGCCAAUGGCUGUGAUCGUGCCCAUGAUGGCUAGUCAUGCGAUGAUUCGAGUAAAUGACAGAUUAGCCAUUGUGCGGAACAUGACAACGGCAAGACAAGAAAGAUUGUAAGGAUUUAAAACUUUUUAAUUUUAAGAUUUAAUUUUCAGUUAUAUGUUAUCGAAUUAAUAUAUUCUUCUUCGGUUGCAGAGGCAACUGUGGCUUAUUUGCAAUAAAUUAUAUAGAGUUUUUUAGCAUUGGUCGCAAUGUUGAUACAAUAAAUCAGUCUUGGAUUGAUAUGUGGAGGCAUAAAUUAGCUUGCAACUUGUAUGAAUAAAACUGUGAUCCUUAGUGUAUUGUAUAUUAUUUUAUUGAAAUGUAAAUGUUGUUUACUUCAGUAUGAUUCGUGUUGUA